CUCCCGCCGUGUGCCCACGGUGGCACGGAGUCCUUCUGAAGCUGAGCGGGCUGGGCUGCCUGGUUCUGCUGGUGCUGGUGGUGCUGGUGGCGGUGCUCAGUGUGCAGGGUGAGUAAAACCCACUUGAAAACAAGUCCAAAACCCAAGCGAGCACAAGGGAAAUUGCACUUUUUAUUUAUUUAUUUUUAUUAUUUUUUAUUUUUCUCACCAAGGGGAGGUCAGGGUUCUAUCCCAGGAACUGGGAUAGUGAUACUGUUUGGGUGGGGACGAUUUUGCCCCAUGUGGACAAGAGUAAAUCCCCUCUCAAAACAAACACACAAACACAAAACAAAAAAAAAAAAAAUAAAAAUAAGGCAACAACAACCAAAAAAAGGGCAACAUUUCUACGCUAUUGCAAAAGUUGUGUUAUAACCAGAAAAGGCGCUUGCAAAAUAGCUCGGGGAACCGAACUCAGCCCUGCUCGGUUUUCACAAUGUUGCCCCCAAACAGCCUCAAUCUCACCCCAAAAUUUUAUCUCUAAGUUUUUCAGAAGGCGCCGACACCUCCCAACGCUCUGCAGAACAAGAGCGAGGCCGGGGGAAGGAGCAGGACAGAGGUGUGCGCGAUUUCCUCCCUGCAGCGCUACUUCUGCCACUGGAACGGCUCCACAGACCACGGGGGCUGCAAGCUGUGCCCCCCGUCUUGGCAGCUUUCGGGAGACCAGUGCUACCAGGUUUCCAAAUCAACUGGGAAUUGGACGGAAGGCAAAAAAGACUGCGAAAGUCGGGGGUCCCAUCUGGCCGUGUUCCGAAACACCACCGAUAUGGAGCACUUAA
RNAcentral lists this long non-coding RNA (815 nucleotides) under Anas platyrhynchos (mallard). Its description in RNAcentral is "lncRNA (ENSAPLG00020010891.1)". The record is from RNAcentral. Lineage: Eukaryota; Metazoa; Chordata; Aves; Anseriformes; Anatidae.